RNAcentral lists this ribosomal RNA (497 nucleotides) under uncultured bacterium. RNAcentral describes it as "partial 16S ribosomal RNA". It matches the Rfam family "Bacterial small subunit ribosomal RNA", at positions 28 to 507 of the family's 1533-position model. The record is from RNAcentral.
GAUGAACGCUGGCGGCGUGCCUAAUACAUGCAAGUCGAGCGAACAGACGAGGAGCUUGCUCCUCUGACGUUAGCGGCGGACGGGUGAGUAACACGUGGAUAACCUACCUAUAAGACUGGGAUAACUUCGGGAAACCGGCGCUAAUACCGGAUAAUAUAUUGAACCGCAUGGUUCAAUAGUGAAAGACGGUUUUGCUGUCACUUAUAGAUGGAUCCGCGCCGCAUUAGCUAGUUGGUAAGGUAACGGCUUACCAAGGCAACGAUGCGUAGACGACCUGAGAGGGUGAUCGCCCACACUGGAACUGAGACACGGUCCAGACUCCUACGGGAGGCAGCAGUAGGGAAUCUUCCGCAAUGGGCGAAAGCAUGACGGAGCAACGCCGCGUGAGUGAUGAAGGUCUUCGGAUCGUAAAACUCUGUUAUUAGGGAAGAACAAAUGUGUAAGUAACUAUGCACGUCUUGACGGUACCUAAUCAGAAAGCCACGGCUAACUACGUG